UUUUUUUUGGGUGAACCUGUUGGUUGAUUUGCUUGCAGAAGCUUGUGUGAGAAUAUGAGUUCCCAGCUAUGCCCACCGUGAAAGGAUAGGACGAGUGAGGGCAACCAUCAUCAAUUCAGUGAAGAUAUACUGCUAACUGCCUAUUUUGAAUAAAAGAAAUACAAUAUAAUACGAACAGCAUGGUUUGGCAAACAGAGCUGAGAAAUACUACCUCCGUCUCAAACUGUCUAGCCUACAAAAACGUCUUACAUUUUGAGAUGGAGGUGGUACCUCACUUCCCAAGAGAGCAAACAUUCAGAAUGCAUAUUCCACCAUAAUUCAUCAAAAAGAGCAAUUCAAAUUACGGAAGCUGCACUUUGCAAGUAGUAUAUCACUACCAACAGGCAAAAUCACAGCAUGACAUGGUGCAGUUGGGUGGCUGCACAGGCAUUACUCUUUAGAAGACUGUUGUUUCUAGGUAGUAUUAAUGUUAUCGACAACACAUUCCAGUAGACAGUUAAGAUAUACUGCAAACUGCCUGCGUUGAACAGAAAAAUAUAUACUAUAAUAGAAUACCAUGGUUUGACAAACAAAGCUGAGAAAUAUUUCACUUUCCAAGCUAGCAAACAUCCAGAAUGCAUAUUCCACUAUAUCCAAUUCAACAAAUAGAGCAAUUCAAAUUAUGAAAGCUGCACUUUGCAAGAACACAUCACUCUACCUACAGGCAAAAUCACAACAAGACAGGGUGCCUAACAGUAGGGUGGCUGCACAGGCAUCACCCUUUAGAACGCUGUUUCUAGGUAUGGAACUUGGUAUGGUUCAUAGGUAUAUACUGCAACUCUGCAACACAUUCUGGAUGUUUGCUAAGGCUGAAGCGCCGGAUGAAUCACAUAGCUUGUAUCUGAACUAACUCAACACCACAAGCUACUUACAACUGCUGUACACAAAUGAGGUUUUAGAGACUUGUGUCAAGUCUCUAAAACGUCUUAUAUUUGUUUACAGAGGGAGUAGAAUUCUACCUCCUAAUUGUAUAGCUUAAUGCUUGACCAAAUAUUGACACUUCUAGACAUGCUAAACCAUUCUUCAAAGUUGGUUAAUCCAGUCAUCUCUAAACACUAAGCUCCUAAUAACAGUUCAAGUAAGUAACUCUACAUAAACUACACUUCUGCUAAUGCCUCUUGGCUUGAGUGAUUCUGGAAAUUAACCUUAUACUCUCUCCGUCCAAGCUUGAAAAACGAUCUUAUAUUGUGGGACGGAGGGAGUAGUGAAUAAGAACAUUGGACAACACCAUAGUGAUGGUGUAUGCUUGUUAGCCUAAAAGGACAGGAACAGAAUGACAACUGAUGCAUCUCUAAGUACAUCAUAUACUGCAUAUAAAGAAAACAUCAUCAUAAAACUAAUUGGCCGUUGACAGAAAACAAAGAAAAUCUAAUGGGAAGAAAAGAACAACAUGUUUUCAUGCUGUGACUUGAAAUUGAUCGUAUAACUGAUAUUCACCACACUAUCAAUUUAUCAGUAUCAAAGGAACGAAAUUCCUUUUUACGAGUUGCAAUAAAUAUCGGCAAUAGCUCAGUUCAGGCAAUUGAAACAACAGGAAGAGGAUACCAAGUUGACCUGUUGUAUUAGGAAUCAAAACUUAGAUCUAACAACAAACAACAUAGCCACCGGACUCAGAAAAAGGUUUCACCUUUGUGGCCUGGCCACCCCUCAUACCGCGGAGGGCUCCUCCAUAUCCCUGUCCCUGCCACGGCCGUUGGCGCCGGCGCCCCCACCGUGGUGAGGCGGGUCAACGGCACUGAGGCCAUCAGGCAUGAGGGAGGCCGGGCGGUUCUCGAUGACCUCGUCUAUAAGCCCCCAUUCGCGGGCCUCCUCGGGGUCCAUGAAAAGGUCACGCUCCAUGCACUGCUCGAUCUUGUCGAUGUUCUGGCCCGUGUGCUUGGCGUAGAUCUUGUUGAGGCGGUCGCGCAGCUUGAGUAUCUCCUUGGCCUGGAUGGCGAUGUCGGUGGCCUGGCCCUGGGCCCCGCCGGAGGGCUGGUGGAUCAUGACCCUGGCGUUGGGCAGCGCCCGCCUCUCCCCGCGCGCGCCGGCGGCGAGGAGGAGGGAGCCCAUGGAGGCGGCCUGGCCGAUGCAGAUGGUGUUGACGGGGCAGCGGAUGUACUGCAUGGUGUCGUAGAUGGCGAGCCCGGCGGUGACGACGCCCCCGGGGGAGUUGAUGUAGAGGCUGAUGGGCUUGAGCGG
RNAcentral lists this long non-coding RNA (2217 nucleotides) under Triticum aestivum (bread wheat). Its description in RNAcentral is "long non-coding RNA (TAES_LNC010476)". The record is from RNAcentral. Lineage: Eukaryota; Viridiplantae; Streptophyta; Magnoliopsida; Poales; Poaceae.